RNAcentral lists this ribosomal RNA (360 nucleotides) under uncultured bacterium. RNAcentral describes it as "bacterial SSU rRNA". It matches the Rfam family "Bacterial small subunit ribosomal RNA", at positions 572 to 933 of the family's 1533-position model. The record is from RNAcentral.
CAGGCGUGAUUUAANUUUGAUUGAAAGCCNCGGNUCAACCGUGGAAGGUCAUUGNAAACUGGAUCACUUGAGUGCAGAAGAGGAAAGUGGAAUUCCAUGUGUAGCGGUGAAAUGCGUAGAUAUAUGGAGGAACACCAGUGGCGAAGGCGACUUUCUGGUCUGUAACUGACGCUGAGGCUCGAAAGCAUGGGGAGCAAACAGGAUUAGAUACCCUGGUAGUCCAUGCCGUAAACGAUGAGUGCUAAGUGUUGGAGGGUUUCCACCCUUCAGUGCUGGAGUUAACGCAAUAAGCACUCCGCCUGGGGAGUACGACCGCAAGGUUGAAACUCAAAGGAAUUGACGGGGACCCGCACAAGCGGU